Molecule: ribosomal RNA, 496 nt
Filed under: uncultured bacterium
Lineage: Bacteria
Description: partial 16S ribosomal RNA
Rfam family: Bacterial small subunit ribosomal RNA
Source: RNAcentral
GAUGAACGCUGGCGGCGUGCCUAAUACAUGCAAGUCGAGCGAACAGACGAGGAGCUUGCUCCUCUGACGUUAGCGGCGGACGGGUGAGUAACACGUGGAUAACCUACCUAUAAGACUGGGAUAACUUCGGGAAACCGGAGCUAAUACCGGAUAAUAUAUUGAACCGCAUGGUUCAAUAGUGAAAGACGGUUUUGCUGUCACUUAUAGAUGGAUCCGCGCCGCAUUAGCUAGUUGGUAAGGUAACGGCUUACCAAGGCAACGAUGCGUAGCCGACCUAAGAGGGUGAUCGGCCACACUGGAACUGAGACACGGUCCAGACUCCUACGGGAGGCAGCAGUAGGGAAUCUUCCGCAAUGGGCGAAAGCUUGACGGAGCAACGCCGCGUGAGUGAUGAAGGUCUUCGGAUCGUAAAACUCUGUUAUUAGGGAAGAACAAAUGUGUAAGUAACUAUGCACGUCUUGACGGUACCUAAUCAGAAAGCCACGGCUAACUACGU